This 151-nucleotide unclassified non-coding RNA is filed under the name uncultured Hypocreales. RNAcentral's name for it is "sequence contains ITS1". The record is from RNAcentral. Lineage: Eukaryota; Fungi; Ascomycota; Sordariomycetes; Hypocreales.
AAGAGUGUAAAAACUCCCAAACCCAUGUGAACUUACCACUGUUGCCUCGGUGGGCUACCCGGUAGCUACUCGUAGCCGCCUCGGUCGCCUGCCGACGGACUUCGAAACUCUUUUGAAUAUUGAUUCUCUGAGUACAACUUUUAAUAAGUAA